GAGAGUGUAGCUCAGUGGAAGAGUGGGUGCUUAACAUGCACAGGGUCCUGGGUUCGAUCCCCAGUAUCUCCA
This 72-nucleotide transfer RNA is filed under the name Camelus bactrianus (Bactrian camel). It matches the Rfam family "tRNA". From Rfam's summary of the family: Transfer RNA (tRNA) molecules are approximately 80 nucleotides in length. RNAcentral also lists the same sequence under 2 other names. The record is from Rfam by way of RNAcentral. Lineage: Eukaryota; Metazoa; Chordata; Mammalia; Artiodactyla; Camelidae.